This 54-nucleotide transfer RNA is filed under the name Aphelenchus avenae. RNAcentral's name for it is "tRNA-Ala". Lineage: Eukaryota; Metazoa; Nematoda; Chromadorea; Rhabditida; Aphelenchidae. The record is from RNAcentral.
AAGAUUAUAGUAUAAAUAAUAUUUUAGUUUUGCAUUCUAAAGAUUUUAAUCUUA